GAUGAACGCUGGCGGCGUGCCUAAUACAUGCAAGUCGAGCGAACAGACGAGGAGCUUGCUCCUCUGACGUUAGCGGCGGACGGGUGAGUAACACGUGGAUAACCUACCUAUAAGACUGGGAUAACUUCGGGAAACCGGAGCUAAUCCCGGAUAAUCUAUUGAACCGUAUGGUUCAAUAGUGAAAGACGGCUUUGCUGUCACUUAUAGAUGGAUCCGCGCCGCGUUAUUGGGUUGGUAAGUUAACGGCUUACCACGGCAACGAUGCGUAGCCGACCUGUGAGGGGGUACGGCCACACUGGAGCUGAGCCGCGGUCCAGACUCCUACGGACGGCAGCGGUAGGGAAUCUUCCGCAAUGGGCGAAAGCCUGACGGAGCAACGCCGCGUGAGUGAUGAAGGUCUGCGGAUCGUAAAACUCUGUUAUGAGGGAAGAACAAAUGUGUAAGUAACUAUGCGCGUCUUGACGGUACCUAAUCAGAAAGCCACGGCUACCUACGU
This 496-nucleotide ribosomal RNA is filed under the name uncultured bacterium. RNAcentral's name for it is "partial 16S ribosomal RNA". It matches the Rfam family "Bacterial small subunit ribosomal RNA", at positions 28 to 506 of the family's 1533-position model. The record is from RNAcentral.